Molecule: long non-coding RNA, 631 nt
Filed under: Triticum aestivum (bread wheat)
Lineage: Eukaryota; Viridiplantae; Streptophyta; Magnoliopsida; Poales; Poaceae
Description: long non-coding RNA (TAES_LNC014636)
Source: RNAcentral
AUAUUCUUCCAUUUGGACACAAAAAGAUGCAUACAUCAACAUGCACCACAGCCGCACGAAAACUACGCACUUAGAUGUUCAACAGCUUACAUACUUAACCAAUUAUCUUAUUACACACAGCAGGAGACAAUAGUCCAGAGAAAAUCACCAACCCACCAUAUAAUAACGACUAUGGUAGAACAACAAGGAUCAGCCCAAGGUAAGAAUACUAGCUUACGAGCUCCAAUCAUUACGAUUUACGACCUCCCUUCAAGAUGACUUCGCAGAGACAAGCUUGUCAAUGAGCGUGGCAGCAUCUUCAACUGUCGCAAUUGCCUGCGCGCUCGUCUCCUCCACGCUGAUCUGGAACUCCUCCUCAAGGCCCAUCACAAUCUCGACCUGCAUGACAGGAACAUGUAAUUAUUUGCUCCAACAAAUGAGCCAUGCUGUAACUUCCCUCCAAUUAUGCUCUAACACCAAAAAGCAUUAAAAAAAUACAGCUCAUUUGAACCCUUGAGCUAUUUGGCCAGGUUAGGUUAGGUACUGCUUGGCUCAAAACAAACAUGCAUGGCAUCAUGGAUAGUUACCGUGUCCAGUGAAUCAGCUCCAAGGUCAGAAAACUUGGUGGUACCGCAAACUUCAGUGCCUUCAG